CCCCCUCAAGAUGAGAUUUCCCAACUUCGGUUAUAAGAUCCCUCGAAGAUGACGAGGUUAAUAGGUUCGAGGUGGAAGCGUGGUGACACGUGGAGCUGACGAAUACUAAUCGAUCGAAGACUUAAUCAAUUUUUAAA
RNAcentral lists this ribosomal RNA (137 nucleotides) under Staphylococcus sp. HMSC068G12. RNAcentral's name for it is "partial 23S ribosomal RNA". It matches the Rfam family "Bacterial large subunit ribosomal RNA", at positions 2794 to 2925 of the family's 2925-position model. Lineage: Bacteria; Bacillati; Bacillota; Bacilli; Caryophanales; Staphylococcaceae. The record is from RNAcentral.